UGAACUUUCUUCCAACUAAUAAAGCACUCUUCGUUUAGUAUGUUUGAGUUUUUACGGAAAAUGUCAAUUUAGCAUUAAAGCCAAAAUAGCCAUGGCCUUAAGAAGGAAACAGUGGGUGUGGCUGAGUAUUCCCAACGGAUAUAAAUAACGACACGUGUCCGACAUUUGGAUGCGCAUUUGUCGCUGAUCGUGGGCCUGCAGUGCUAUAAUGCCUUAGCCGGCACCAUCAUCUUCACCUUCACGUGCAGCCGGAAUGCGGCCGGUCAGCCGCCUGCGGUAACCGCUAUCAUCGCUCUGAUCGAUUGCGUCUGCUCUUUUUUUCUUCUAAUCUUCGCCUGCGCGUAUUCAUGCGAACAGGGUCAAAAACUGGUCCAAGUUGCCCAAAUUUGCCUUCGAAAAGGAGUGGAAAAAGGAUGAACGGAAGACCAUGUAUCACCGUGGCAGGCGCUGCGCACCGGGGUGUUUCACUGUGGCGGGCGUGGUAAUCACGAGGGAGAGCGCCAUGCAGGUGCAAGUUUGCGAUUCAUCGAUUUGCGAUUUCUGUGUGAACCGCUCUGUUAAGCACUCUGGUGGUCUUUGCGGAACUGGCUCGCGCCGCCACCGGCGCUGAAACCGGCAUUAGCGCCAUCAACGUCACGCAGAACACCUAAGUGCAGGAGAAGCCAGGCAUAUUUCCGGGUUAUCCGUAGCGCAUCGUUUCUUGCUAGACCCAUCAGUCUAUCUCAGUUUCAUUACUUCGUGGACAAACCUACAUUUGGGGCGAUCUCAAAUCCGUGUAGCUUAUUGUGCUAUUGCAAACGCUCUACGAGUAAAAAUUGUCGAUGAUUUUCAGUGCUGAUGCAAAAA
Molecule: long non-coding RNA, 846 nt
Organism: Paramacrobiotus metropolitanus
Lineage: Eukaryota; Metazoa; Tardigrada; Eutardigrada; Parachela; Macrobiotidae
Exons: 4
Source: RefSeq, a predicted model, not a curated record